UAGUCAGUCGGACCUCUUUGGGGUCGACGGGCUGCUCGCCAUUUUCCUAUUUUCCUACUGCUCCGUCCUUUGACCCGUUCUGUCGGAGUCUUUCGUCUCUUCAUCGACUAAACCAGCCCUCCCUAAACUUGUCGAUAACAAUUUUGUCUCCUGAACAGGGAGCCGGUCAUGCUGACUGACGAGGGAAGGUGGGGUGUUUGUGUUGCCGAGCGCUCGGCGUGGAUCCGUCAUUCGCAGGUGAAAGUAGCUGUUGUGGACAUCCCUGCGGCGACUCCCGGAGGACCCGCGCCAUCGCCUCCCGCGCCGACGGCUGCCCCAUGUCUUCCCUCAGUGCCUCCGUCCCCGCAGGCCACCCGCGUCCCACCUCUACGGCUUCGUCGGUCCUCAUCUGGAUGGGCUGUGCUUCCUUGACUGUCCUCCGCUGGUGUCCUCUGGCGUUGCGCUCUGUGUUGUUUCUGCAACUCUCCCCACCAGGACCAUAUCUUGCUCCUGACUACGAACUCUGAGGAGGGGAUGCAGAUGUCCGGUCUGACCUAGUCCCUCCGGGCCUUUUCUCCGUGUUUGUCUGCCGGCUGCUUGCCUACCUUCGCCCUGGUACAACCAGAACCCCUGGUGCGUCUCUCGGGGGCCUCUUGGCUCUGGGGACGCAGAGGGGGGACUGUUGCGGACUGUGAUAGUGAGGCCAACCCAAAGAUGGCCACGGUGAGGCCAGCCUCAAGCCUGUGUCAUGUCACCUGUGUCACAUAAACGGCAAGAUGGCUCCUUCGUGUCACGUGACCCAUUCAAACUUCGCUCCAUGUGCCACUUUUCAAACGUCGUGCCCAUGCCACUUUUGCGCGGGCCGGUCGGGUGUGACGGGAACUGGUUGGAUGUCACGUGAUCAGGGAAGUGCUUACCGAUCCUACAUGUGUCCAGCCCCGAUUGGGCGCCUUGCGCCAGCGUCAUGUUCCGCCAUCCCAAUAAAGCUGGCAGGGCAGCCUGGGAUUGGGGCGCUGCAGUCAGUUGUUACCCCGCCGGGGUGAACAGGCUACUUGCCGCUUUCCUACUGCUCUGUCCUUUGACUCGUU
Molecule: long non-coding RNA, 1067 nt
Organism: Ornithorhynchus anatinus (platypus)
Lineage: Eukaryota; Metazoa; Chordata; Mammalia; Monotremata; Ornithorhynchidae
Exons: 2
Source: RefSeq, a predicted model, not a curated record